Molecule: ribosomal RNA, 612 nt
Filed under: uncultured archaeon
Lineage: Archaea
Description: bacterial SSU rRNA
Rfam family: Archaeal small subunit ribosomal RNA
Source: RNAcentral
AGUCAACAUAACCAAGGGACGUGGAUAAUCUCGGGAAACUGAGGCUAAACCGCGAUAGACCAAGAUACCUGGAAUGGUUUUUGAUCAAAAUCUAUAUGGCCCUUGGAUUGGACUGCGUCCGAUCAGGCUGUUGGUGAGGUAAUGGCCCACCAAACCUAUAACCGGUACGGGCUCUGAGAGGAGGAGCCCGGAGAUGGGUACUGAGACAAGGACCCAGGCCCUAUGGGGCGCAGCAGGCGCGAAACCUCUGCAAUAGGCGAAAGCCUGACAGGGUUACUCUGAGUGACUUUCGCUAAGAAGGUCUUUUGACAUCUGUAAAAAUGGUGUAGAAUAAGGGGUGGGCAAGUCUGGUGUCAGCCGCCGCGGUAAUACCAGCACCCCGAGUGGUCGGGACGAUUAUUGGGCCUAAAGCAUCCGUAGCCGGUUUUACAAGUCCUCCGUUAAAUCCAACUGCUUAACAGAUGGGCUGCGGAGGAUACUAUAAGACUAGGAGGCAGGAGAGGCAAGCGGUACUCAGUGGGUAGGGGUAAAAUCCGUUGAUCCAUUGAAGACCACCAGUGGCGAAGGCGGCUUGCCAGAAUGCGCUCGACGGUGAGGGAUGAAAGCUGGGGG